This 443-nucleotide ribosomal RNA is filed under the name uncultured bacterium. RNAcentral's name for it is "partial 16S ribosomal RNA". It matches the Rfam family "Bacterial small subunit ribosomal RNA", at positions 338 to 795 of the family's 1533-position model. The record is from RNAcentral.
CCUACGGGGGGCAGCAGUGGGGAAUAUUGGGCAAUGGGCGCAAGCCUGACCCAGCAACGCCGCGUGAAGGAAGAAGGCUUUCGGGUUGUAAACUUCUUUUCUCAGGGACGAAGCAAGUGACGGUACCUGAGGAAUAAGCCACGGCUCACUACGUGCCAGCAGCCGCGGUAAUGCGUAGGUGGCAAGCGUUAUCCGGAUUUACUGGGUGUAAAGGGCGUGUAGGCGGGAAAGCAAGUCAGAUGUGAAAACCAUGGGCUGAACCUGUGGCCUGCAUUUGAAACUGUUUUUCUUGAGUACUGGAGAGGCAGACGGAAUUCCUAGUGUAGCGGUGAAAUGCGUAGAUAUUAGGAGGAACACCAGUGGCGAAGGCGGACUGCUGGACAGCAACUGACGCUGAGGCGCGAAAGCGUGGGGAGCAAACAGGAUUAGAUACCCCUGUAGUC